GGGGAUUUAGCUCAGAGGUAGAGCACUUGCCUAGCAAAUGCAAGGCCCUGGGUUCAGUCCCCA
Molecule: transfer RNA, 63 nt
Filed under: Rattus norvegicus (Norway rat)
Lineage: Eukaryota; Metazoa; Chordata; Mammalia; Rodentia; Muridae
Rfam family: tRNA
About the family: Transfer RNA (tRNA) molecules are approximately 80 nucleotides in length.
Source: Rfam by way of RNAcentral